CAACAAGGAACCCAGACCUA
Molecule: unclassified non-coding RNA, 20 nt
Filed under: Mus musculus (house mouse)
Lineage: Eukaryota; Metazoa; Chordata; Mammalia; Rodentia; Muridae
Description: oocyte_clustered_small_RNA2307
Source: RNAcentral